Long non-coding RNA from Passer domesticus (house sparrow), 6083 nucleotides. RefSeq lists it as uncharacterized. The record is from RefSeq and is a predicted model, not a curated record. Lineage: Eukaryota; Metazoa; Chordata; Aves; Passeriformes; Passeridae. The transcript has 5 exons.
GCUGCUUGCACGUGCUCAGAGUCACUUUCAGUGCCCAGAAGGAGAAUGAAGGGAACUGCAGGCCUAUCAGCAUGAUCCUCAGUGUUGGGGAAGGUCAUGGAGCAGAACCCCUUGAAUACAAUCACAUAACACAUGCAGAGUCCCGACACAGCUUGGCCAUAAUUGGCCAAUGAGUCAAAACUACUCACACCAGAAAACAAAAAGCUUCCCAGGACAAAAAACCUGGGCGAAGGAUUUUUUCCAGAGAUUAUGAAUGCCACAAGAAUUGAGUGACCUAUGGUUGAUUUUAAAUUGUUCCUUGUGCUAUGGACACUGUUCUGUCAGUUUUAUGUCUCUCUCAGUGAAACAACGGCCAAGACAAAAAAAACCCAUCAAUUAUGAGAAGCCACAGUGGAGCAGCAUUGUGAAGCAGAGGAAAAUCAAGUAUUUCUGUUCCAUAAUUGGCAGCAGAAAACAGGAUGCUUGUGAGGCCUCCACGCUCUUCUUAUGUGGGUAACUAUAGGUCUGUGACAUACUACAAGAGCAUAUUUAGAAAAAUUAGUAGGGAUAGUGAUGUAUAUAAGAGCAAAUAAAGAGAUAAUGGGAAUAAGAAUUAACUGGAGGGAUCCUUUAAAAAUAUAAAAUUUAAAUAAAACUACUCUCCACAAACCUUUUCUGAUAGAGAAUAUCAUAGAAUCAUACAAUGCUUUGAGUUGGAAAGGACAUUAAGGAUCAUACUGUUCUAAUCUCCCAGACACUUUUCACUAGACCAAGCUGAUCAGAUAUGUGGAAGUUUAGUUCAUCACUUGGUUUUGAUAUAAGAAUAGAUGAUACAGAACAUCUUACAAACUUGUUUGUAAUGUACCAUAACAUUUUUUUUUAUGCACACUUGAACACAGAGGUGUAAUAGAGCCAUUUGAAACAGUCUUGUGACACACACAGAUAAACUAGAAUUGCAAUAGCUCUCCUAGUCCAUAUACCUUAUGACAAAAACACUGCUCGUGAUGCAUUACUCUGUAUUUAAAAAUGUAUUAGAGUACAAAGGAGCAAGAAGUAUAUACCUGAGUCCUAAAUAGUUCAUCUUUGAUUUAAAAUGUUUACUAGGACUGUCUUUUAUAAAUACACAUUAGGGGAGCUUGUGGUAGAAAGGGUUGUGGUCUCAGUGCUGCCUGCUUGAAGGCCCUCACAACUGCUGACUAGGAGCAAGAAAAUAAGUCUUAUGAAUAUUUUUAAAUAAUUUAAUCUGAAGACUUAUAGAUAUAAAUCAGAUCAGCAAAAUCACGUUAUUUUCUUCUUUCUGAAUUAUAUUUUUUUUAAUUCAGGCUAUGCUCAGUUAUAACCUGUAGCAAUUCUAAGUAAACACUAUAAUGAAAGAAUAUAGAUAAGGUCUUUGUUUUAAGCCUGAUUAAAAUACAUACUUAAAGAUAUUGCCUCAAUAUAUCUUGCUAAAAAAAUUUUAAAAUGGACUUUCUAUUCUUUAUUUUCCCUAAAUCUUAGGCUCCUUAUUUGUCUUUAAAUUCUACAUAAUUAAUGUAAUCUCUGAUAUUAUUCUUCCAUUGAUAUUUUGGAUAACAUUUUGUAGGUAUAAAUGGAUAUAAAAUUAAAUUUAGACUGGAAAACCUAAGCUCAGUAGGAAAUAUUUCUAUGUUAAUAAAAAACCCCUCCAAACUACCUCAAAAAUACUUAACCAGGGCUGUAUUAAAUUUCUUUAAAAGUGAAUUAAAGUUUAAGCUCUGUUUACUCAGAAAAUUUGCAAAGUGGCUGCAGUUAUAAAUGCAGUCACUUAAACAGACAAAGGGAUUGAGUGCACUCUCAUCAAGUUUGCAGAAGACUCCAAGCUGAGGGUGCAGUUGGCACACCUGAAGAAGGGGAUGCCACCCAGAGGAAUCCGGACAAGCUCAAGAAUUGGGCCCAUGCGAGUCUCAUGCAGUUUAACAAGAACAAGCACCAGGUGCUGCACCUGAGUGAGGACAACUCCUGGCAUCAAUGCAGGCUGAGGGAUGAAGAGAUGAAGAGCAGCCCUGUCGAGAAGGAGCUGGGAUCACAGUAUUUACAGUGUUUUUUCCAAUGUCUUCUAAAAGAUUAUUUGCAUCCUCUGCUGCUGCUGAAGUAAUGAAACAGUUUAUACAACUUUCAUUCACCUGCUCACAGUGAUACAACAGCCACUGUUCUGCAAAGUACUGUACUAAAAUCUAUCGCUAAGAAAAUCUGAGUUGCAGUCAAAGAUUAUAGUUAUUUUGGUAAGUACUUUGGUUUUUUGACUGAGGUGAUAUACUUGUAAAGUCCUAAUAUAAACACAGCUGAGUUAGCUCAGGUACUGUGACAUAUAAAUGAAGAUGUGACAGCUGUGUAGACAUGACACAGAGGGGAUUUAGAGCAGGUUUACAGAAAAAAAAGAGCCACAUGUCUCAGUGACAUAACUUGAAAUUUAUUUUUUAGGUAGCAUGGGAUUAGCAGGUGAAUAUCAAUCUCUAUUAUAAAGCUUCUGGUAUAAGAUUUCUAUGCUAUGGCACUCACAACAUGACAAGGAUCGUGUUUCCCCAGCCCAGUUUAGAUAGCCAGGACAGACCAUGUAAAGAGCUCUUACUGAUCAAUAUGUUCAAGUCCUGGAGACCAUUCUGGCCUGUACAUGUUGCCCAUGCCCAUGCCCAGAGCCCUUUUCCCCCCACUCACAAAGGUUAUUGUCAUAACAGUAUAUUUCUUUAAAAUUAGAUAAUUAGACAAAGUCAUGUAUGAUAUUGCUAGUUUUAUAACUCAAGGCAAAUUUCUCUGUCUUUCUGUGUAUUUAAAACCAAUUAGUGGUUGUUUCCAAAAUUAGUGUCACCUUCUGGUUUCCUAUUCCAGAUGUGCUAAAAGAUGUUAAGUCCUUGCUUCAAUGCCAUCUCAGUUCAUACCAGAGUACUUUAGAGUUAGAAAUCAGCAAAGGAUAAGAGGACAUCUUGGCCUAAUUUUAUUACAUUAAAGUUCUGGAAGUUUUUAGUUCUUAACAAUCCAUAACAAAGAUAUAAUCAAAAAUGAAAAGCAACUAAACCCACCUUUAUAGCACAGUUCUUUAUAUUUUCUUCAAUAGAGGUAGUCUCAUGCACAUACAGAGAGGAAUGUGUGAAGUCAACACAGCUGCGAGUUCCUUCUCUUUCUAGGAAAAAUACUAAGACUUUGUCCUACUUGAGCGUGCAAGAUGCUGUGUCAGGGCCUCAUUAUCAUGCCACAACAACAGUGAUCAGAGUAAGCUACAAAAUUUUAGCUAAGAUUAGACACAAUAUUUGAAUUUUUCCAGGCUAAGGUUGUACUCCUCUUGACUGUUUUUCAUUUUAUUUAAUUAAAGCUAUCAUAAUUUCCGUGUUAAUUUUACCAAACAAUCUUUCCUAAUUUUUUUCAGUCAGAAACUAUUUAAAAAACCCUAAAAACCCAAAAGACCACACUACUGCUUUCACAGCUGCAGAUAAUACCUUAUGUAUUAAAUUCUAUGAAAAUAUUGUAUAAAUCUGACUGACAGCAUUCUAAAGGUAUUAAAUAUUCAUGUUCUGAUUUUCUGAGGAGUCUACAAUUAGAGGGAAGUCAUGUACCUUAUCUUCCUUAGUUCUGAUCUUAGUACACUCUAGAAGUACAUUCAGCCCACUCAGAUAACUAAUGUAAUAGCUACAACAGCAGUACAAAAUUAGGCAUAUCUCUGUUUUCUCGCACAUUUGUUUUCUUUCUCUUUGUACCAAAUGUUGCUUCUUUUAUGUUCCACAAGUUUCAUCAGAUUGUUAUCCUUAUGAAUUUUUCCUGAAGGUGAACAUGUUCCAUCACCUUGUGAUAGUUUCUUAGUGAUACUUUUAUGGAAUACCAUGGCUUUAACAAUAUUAGAACUUGUCCAAUUCCCACUGUUUCUCUAGGUGGCAAAUAGAUUCUAUGUUUUCCUUCUGAUUUCAAACAACUUACUCAUUGUCUCUGGGCUGUGACUUGACCAUAAAUCUUUGUUCCCCAGUGCAGCAUAGAGAAAAUAAAUAAAAUAAAAUAAAUUAAAUAAAUAAAUUUAAAAAAAGAUAUUUUGGAAGGACUUCUAUUCUGUGGCCUCUUUUCAGCAAAAGUGUAGCUUUCAACUGGAGGACACUGAAUGUAGAAUUAAUUGUGUAAAUGUAGACUACGUGAAAUGCUCUAGGGUAUCUGAAAUGAGGUCAGUAAGUAUGACACAAGACCACAGGAAACCAUACCUUAGUAAGGUAACAGGUGAAGGACUAAUGGAUCUGAAACCUCUGAGGCUGCAGUAGUUACCUGUGUUUAGACAGCUGGCUGCCACACUCAGAUGAUUUGAAAAGCCAGUGCUUGACAGCUGUCCUGAGCUGAGUUGUAAAUAGUCAGGAAUAACCACUUCUUAGUAUUCCAACCAGACUUUUAUUUAGUUUUUCUUUUUCUUUAAUUAAGGAAAUAAUAUAACAUAUAAAAAACACAGAAAAUGUACCUUUGUUAUGAGUAUGCUGGAACAGUAUUUCUUUCAAAUUUAUUCAUUUACACCUUCAGUUUUCUUAAACAUUCUAGCAGGUACACCACUAAGAUCCUCUGUCACUACAUUUCAUCAGAGACUUAUUUAAUAAUCCCAUCUGCCUGAAGCAAUAACUACUACAGGAAUAAAGCGAUUAUCUACUGUUACCUGAUUUACACUUUCUCUAAAUCUAAUGAAUUUAAACACACUUGGUGUAAAAUAUCACCAUAACAUUAAGAAGCUUUCAUUUAAAUAUGUUCAUACAAUAUUUACAAUUCAAACAAAUAUGUUUUUUGAUAUAAAAACUGGUCAUUUAAUACAGCAUGGAUAAACAAUUUGAAUGAAAAUGAGAAAAAAAAUUAAAACUAUUUUAAAAUUACUUGAAAGUAGAGAGUGUAGGUAACAAAUGACAACAUACUUGCUGCUGGUCUAAAAGCUGUUUCACAUUGUGCAUAUAUAAGGGCCUAAAGCACAGACAAAACCAUCAUUAAAAUCAUAUAGGAAGAAAUAGGCAAUUAGAUUGGAGCUUGAAGCCUACAAUACUGAGAAGUCUAAGUUCUCAGAAAUUUCACAAGACAAUUGUCAUUUCAGUCACCCAACUUGCAGCUGCAUGAGAGUGGAGUUUAUUCAGGCAUUGGAUUGCAAGUUCAUUUCAGAGGCCAGUUUGAAAAUCCAAGAUUUUUUAAAAAAUUUUUCUUGCCCUGUGGUAGAGAAAAAUAAGUAAUUUUCCUAGAGUACAGAGUGCUUGGUUCUGCUCACAUAAUUUCUUGGUUGACACAUGAGAUAGGCCCAGUUCCACCCAUAUUCUCCUACUUCUGCAUACACAUUUUUUGAUACAGCAAGAAUCACUGUGCUUUUGUCCAAAGAUGACUUUUAGAAGGAGCAGUGAAAGUACAUGUCCAUAUCCCAAGGCUGUAGAGUGGAAAAGUGCAUUCACACUGCAGAAGUGCACAUGAAGGGCAGUACUAAUGCAUGUUUGACAGUGUCCAUAUGAGAGAGACAAGGGAUGCAUAUCAGACCUCUGUAGGACAAGAGUGAGAUGGGGCAGAAAAUUGGUCAUGAUUUUACACUACUUUCACUCUUGUUCUAUAUGAAUGAAUAAUUUUAAGUUUUGAAAACAAUGUUCACCAUAGUGAAUUAACAUUUAAUACUGAAAAGCUGCUUAGUUAACCACAAACUCUAUUCAACAGCAACUAAAGUUGGGGUAAACCAUUGUGAUCAAUUCCAGUAAAUUGAAUAUGUGCACAAAAUACUUAAUAAGCAAAAAUGCAAAAGGAAUGCAAGAGUCUUUUUCUUCACAUAACUGAACACUAUAGAUGAACACAGGAUUAAAAGCUGUAGGCGUCAGUAAAAUAGUUCACACAUCAAAAUACAGCAGAAAAUUUAUUAAACACUCCUGGAUCUAUACUCUGGAAAACACCAGUACCAAAAUCCCUAUUUUUUAUUAGGGGCAAGGGGAUUGCAUCUGACCUGCCCUGCUCUGGCAUACUUAUAAGACUACUACUAGUAAUGAGCACACCUCAAAAAACAGAAAAAACCCACUGCGUAUAAUGGCUUCAGAAGCUAACAUAAAAAAAACAAGGAAGAGGUGAAUAGUAUUAGUGAUCUGGCACAGAAUUUCACAGGAAGAUUUUCAGAU